UACGUAGGGUGCAAGCGUUAAUCGGAAUUACUGGGCGUAAAGCGUGCGCAGGCGGUUGUGCAAGACAGAUGUGAAAUCCCCGGGCUCAACCUGGGAACUGCAUUUGUGACUGCACGGCUGGAGUGCGGCAGAGGGGGAUGGAAUUCCGCGUGUAGCAGUGAAAUGCGUAGAUAUGCGGAGGAACACCGAUGGCGAAGGCAGCCCCCUGGGCUGAGAUUGACGCUCAGGCACGAAAGCGUGGGGAGCAAACAGG
Molecule: ribosomal RNA, 253 nt
Filed under: uncultured bacterium
Lineage: Bacteria
Description: partial 16S ribosomal RNA
Rfam family: Bacterial small subunit ribosomal RNA
Source: RNAcentral